UUGGAGGGCAAGUCUGGUGCCAGCAGCCGCGGUAAUUCCAGCUCCAAUAGCGUAUAUUAAAGUUGUUGCAGUUAAAAAGCUCGUAGUUGAAUUUCGGGGUUAGUAGGUUGGUCAUGCCUCUGGUAUGUACUGGUCUCACUGACUCCUCCUUCCUGAUGAACCGUAAUGCCAUUAAUUUGGUGUUGCGGGGAAUUUGGACUGUUACUUUGAAAAAAUUAGAGUGUUUAAAGCAAGCUAACGCUUGAAUACAUUAGCAUGGAAUAAUGAAAUAGGACGUUCGAUCCUAUUUUGUUGGUUUCUAGGAUUGACGUAAUGAUUAAUAGGGAUAGUUGGGGGCAUUAGUAUUCAAUUGUCAGAGGUGAAAUUCUUGGAUUUAUUGAAGACUAACUACUGCGAAAGCAUUUGCCAAGGAUGUUUUCAUUAAUCAAGAACGAAAGUUAGGGGAUCGAAGACGAUCAGAUACCGUCGUAGUCUUAACCAUAAACUAUGCCGACUAGGGAUCGGAUGAUGUUAAUUUUUUAAUGACUCAUUCGGCGCCUUACGGGAAAC
This 549-nucleotide ribosomal RNA is filed under the name Rhizophagus intraradices. RNAcentral's name for it is "SSU rRNA". It matches the Rfam family "Eukaryotic small subunit ribosomal RNA", at positions 548 to 1098 of the family's 1831-position model. The record is from RNAcentral. Lineage: Eukaryota; Fungi; Glomeromycota; Glomeromycetes; Glomerales; Glomeraceae.